This 422-nucleotide ribosomal RNA is filed under the name uncultured bacterium. Its description in RNAcentral is "bacterial SSU rRNA". It matches the Rfam family "Bacterial small subunit ribosomal RNA", at positions 355 to 774 of the family's 1533-position model. The record is from RNAcentral.
UGAGGAAUAUUGGGCAAUGCCCGCAAGGGUGACCCAGCAACGCCGCGUGGAGGAUGAAUGUCGUAAGAUUGUAAACUCCUGUUAGAGGGGAAGAAUAGUACCGGUUGGACCGGUAUAUGACUGUACCCUCAGAGAAAGCCCCGGCUAACUACGUGCCAGCAGCCGCGGUAAUACGUAGGGGGCAAGCGUUGUUCGGAAUUACUGGGCGUAAAGGGCGUGUAGGCGGCCCGCUAAGUCAGGUGUGAAAUUCCUGGGCUCAACCCAGGACGUGCACUUGAGACUGACGGGCUUGAGUCCGGGAGAGGAUGGUGGAACUCCCAGUGUAGAGGUGAAAUUCGUAGAUAUUGGGAAGAACACCCGUGGCGAAGGCGGCCAUCUGGACCGGUACUGACGCUAAGGCGCGACAGCGUGGGGAGCAAACA